RNAcentral lists this long non-coding RNA (478 nucleotides) under Lathyrus oleraceus (garden pea). RNAcentral's name for it is "Pisum sativum (pea) long non-coding RNA (PSAT_LNC038584)". The record is from RNAcentral. Lineage: Eukaryota; Viridiplantae; Streptophyta; Magnoliopsida; Fabales; Fabaceae.
CUGAAGCUCAGCAGGCUCUGACUCAGGGGGGGUCUUCAACUGCUGUUCCCAUGAUUCUUCAGACUUUGAAGGACCUUAAGGAAGAUCAGAAUAUCCUCCGAGACAGAAUGGACAAGCAAGAUACGGUCAAUGAGAACAUCCAGAAGAUGCUUGCCAUGAUCUUGCAGAAAUUGCCUCAGAACCCUUAGGCACUUAGGAUUUUAUGUUUUGCUUGCCUUCUUGUUUUUGCUUUCUUGUUUUGCUGACUCUGAUGUCUGGUGUUCUCUUGGUUUUCGUUUCUGCUAUAUUUUAAUACAAUGUUUUGUUUUUCUCUUCAAUUAUUUAUUUUCUAUGUCUUUUUGAUUCUGACAAAAAGGGGGAGAAAUCAUUAAAUAGCUCUGAUGAAAAUUGUCUAAAAACCUUAAGCACUCUGCAACAAUUGUAGAAAUAGCUCUGAUAAAAAUAGCUCUGAUUAAAUAGCUCUAACAUUAAAUUUAAG